This 76-nucleotide transfer RNA is filed under the name bacterium. RNAcentral describes it as "tRNA-Thr". It matches the Rfam family "tRNA". Rfam says of the family: Transfer RNA (tRNA) molecules are approximately 80 nucleotides in length. Their secondary structure includes four short double-helical elements and three loops (D, anti-codon, and T loops). Further hydrogen bonds mediate the characteristic L-shaped molecular structure. tRNAs have two regions of fundamental functional importance: the anti-codon, which is responsible for specific mRNA codon recognition, and the 3' end, to which the tRNAs corresponding amino acid is attached (by aminoacyl-tRNA synthetases). tRNAs cope with the degeneracy of the genetic code in two manners: having more than one tRNA (with a specific anti-codon) for a particular amino acid; and 'wobble' base-pairing, i.e. permitting non-standard base-pairing at the 3rd anti-codon position. The record is from RNAcentral.
GCCAACGUAGCUCAGUCGGUAGAGCACAUCCAUGGUAAGGAUGAGGUCGUCGGUUCAAUCCCGACCGUUGGCUCCA